RNAcentral lists this transfer RNA (75 nucleotides) under Purpureocillium lilacinum. RNAcentral describes it as "tRNA-Met". It matches the Rfam family "tRNA". From Rfam's summary of the family: Transfer RNA (tRNA) molecules are approximately 80 nucleotides in length. Their secondary structure includes four short double-helical elements and three loops (D, anti-codon, and T loops). Further hydrogen bonds mediate the characteristic L-shaped molecular structure. tRNAs have two regions of fundamental functional importance: the anti-codon, which is responsible for specific mRNA codon recognition, and the 3' end, to which the tRNAs corresponding amino acid is attached (by aminoacyl-tRNA synthetases). tRNAs cope with the degeneracy of the genetic code in two manners: having more than one tRNA (with a specific anti-codon) for a particular amino acid; and 'wobble' base-pairing, i.e. permitting non-standard base-pairing at the 3rd anti-codon position. Lineage: Eukaryota; Fungi; Ascomycota; Sordariomycetes; Hypocreales; Ophiocordycipitaceae. The record is from RNAcentral.
AGCCUAAGUAGUUUAACGGUUAAAACACUGAUUUCAUACAUUAGUAAUAAAAGUUCGAUUCUUUUCUCAGGCUUC